Molecule: long non-coding RNA, 1023 nt
Filed under: Anser brachyrhynchus (Pink-footed goose)
Lineage: Eukaryota; Metazoa; Chordata; Aves; Anseriformes; Anatidae
Description: lncRNA (ENSABRG00000013397.1)
Source: RNAcentral
AUGUUAGGGAAGAUACCAUCCUGAGGACCUCCUGAUCCCUGGGAUCAGGUGAUGGGCUGAGCCUCUCUUCCCCCCGUAUUGGGAUGCCUUUGGGUGAGAUUUGAACACUUGGUUAUAUUGUAUGUCUCUGCAGAAACUUAGAAAUCUCUAUAGAGUCUUUGUGCCUUUUUAACAUGUUAAUUUUGAGGCUGCACAACUGUGUAUUUCAUGCACACCAGCUUGCUUUUGCAGACAGUAAAUUAUUGCCAGCAAUCCAAAGAAUCUGUGUCUGAAAUAAAUUGCAUUUAACUGCAUUGUUCCUAGCUGUAAUAGUUCUCAAAGAACUUGACUAGAGUAAGGGCGGUUAUAUGUUAUUGGUGAAUCUGUGACUGUGGUAGUUCACUGCUCUGAAUCCAACCAGACCCAUAUUGGUUAAUGCAUUAUUGGUGAAUCUGUGAUUGUGAUAAUUCAGUACCCUGAAUCAGACCAGACCCAUAAUGGUUAAUUGGCUACACCCUUAACAUAAUGUGCAUACACUCCAACCCACCUAAAGAACCCUGUAAUUGGCUGAAGGAAAAACAAAGCACUUACACCAAGGAGCAGCUCAGGCAGAAAGAGCUUUAAGGGGACACCUGUGGCUUAUAUACCAUUAGGCCCACCUGGCACCCAACCAAUCACCUGGGAAAGGGGUGGGGCAAAGCAAAAAAGUAGAAAUCAAGCAGGAUGAGCAGCAGCUGUGUUGUUUUUGUUUAUCUGGCUUAGCUCAACAGUGUGCAAAGCACAGCACAAAGAAGUGGGCUGUUUCUAGAAACAACAAUUUCUGUGCUUUUUGCUUCAACUAUGAAUGUUGAAAGGACAAUAUGACCAAAAAUUAAACACGUGUAUUUUGAAAGCAAAGAGAAAACUUGAUGAGAAGAGAUCUUAUGAUUAAGCCAUCUGGCAACACUACAAGAAAAGAAAAUUUGACUCCCCCUUACAAGUGUGCAUUCCAUCUGCAAUUAUGCUGCAGCCCACUCUGCCACUCAGCUCUGUCCUUGCUAUAGA